UCUAUUCAUCUGUCUAUCUGUCCAUAAGCCUGUCUGUAUUUCUUAGUGUCUAUCUUUCAGUCUGUCCUUCUACCUGUCUGUCUCUCUAUCUCUCUGCCCAUGUGUGUCUUAGUCUAUCUUUCCAAUCACCUAUCUGUCUGUCUACCUGUUUGUUUAGCCAUCUAUCUGUAUGCAUGUCUGUCUCCACUUCCCUGUGUUAAAUUCUGUUUGUAAAUCUGUCUGACUUUUCAUCUACCUGCCUGUCUGUCCAUCUGCCUAUCCAUCCCUCUACCUGUCUAGCUAUAUUGAGGUCUGUAUGUCACAAUGGCUUUGUGGUGUACAUCCAUCCAUAUGGACGCAUAUAGAUGGAUGACAAAUUAAAAGAAAAACCAGAAACUUCUUUCAUCUACAUUAACGGUUUUCUGUCUUAUGAUAAAUUUCCUUCAUUCUUAAAAACGUAAGUGGAGGACGAGUGGGCGUACUUUAAUCUCCAGAGCCUUGAGAGAGGAGCCGUGUACGGUGGCCCAGUUGGGAAAACACUUUAAUUACUGUGUAUUUAUUCGAAGCAGGCAGCGUUAUUAACUAAACCCACCCCCGAGCCGUCCGGCCGGCUGUAAGCGCUGUUUUCAAUUAAACGAUCGUGAAUGGAAGGGAAGAUGAAAAGGGAAUUUCGACUCUCCCAGUGCCUGUAAGGCAGCGAGAUCAUGUGACUAAGUGCAGAACUAAUAUCAGAGUAAACAUGUUAAAUAAACAAUAAGUACAGCGUGUAUGCAGCAAAGUCCAGGAACCCGGAUAAACCAACACUUUUACAUAAUUUGCGUAAUUAUGACCAGUCCCUUUCUUUUUCUGUUUUUAUCCCAGAGGUGACUGUAAUUAUGUAAAAUGAGAUAAUCUCAAAAUAUCACAAGGUCACAUCAUUCUUAAAUAACACACGUCAAAAUAGCUUAAAUUAGGUCACAUCAUUCUUAAAUAAUACAGGUCAAAAUAACUUUGUUACCCAGUCAUGAAAAGAUGACAAAUAACAUGAUGUACUGUAUAACAAGCCCAUUUUACACCAAAAGCAUUGCAUGGUUUUUAGUAAAUAUGAAGUGCUAAUAACUGCAAAUAUUAUAAACACUGCAUGAAUCCAGAAAUAUUUGUUUUAGGUACCAACAAAUCAGGGAUUACGUUCAGAAACAUGUACCCAGUUAUGUGAAUGCCGGCCUUCCCAAGGCUGAGGUCAGAUACCAGUACAGGACAUUUUGGUGUAUAACGGGCUUUACACUUGGAAAUAUUACUUAAAAGCAAUAUGUGAACCUAACUAAACUAAGCUUAAACUGGAGCUGGAUAAAUGAAGGCUGAUGAAAUGUUAAUAAUAACAACCUGACAGUUUAACUAUUAUUAAAUAUUACAUUAAUCAAGUUUAUAUGCACAGAAAAUACAUACACUUUUGUAUAUACUGUAAAACAUGAAGCAAAUGUGUUACAAACAUGAUAUUUAGAUUAAUAUAUCAUGUUUCAUAUAAAUAAUUUCCAGCUCAAGACAUAAAACUGCUGAUUAGUCUCAGUUUUAAAGAAUAUAUUGUUGUAUCAAUUAUCAACUGUGUAUAAAUUCAUAAUAUACUGCAAAACCCCACAUCUUAUCAAGUAAAAAUAUCUUGAAUAUAGACAAAUUUAUCUAAUACACUCUAAAAUUACUAAAAAUAAACCAAAUAUAUAUUUGACAUAUAUUAUUAAACAUAUUUCUAGACAUUUUUACUAAUUUCAAGUUUUAAGUUUUCUAAUUCGGAUAAUUAGACAGAUCAUUUUGCGUCUUUCUAGAAAUAAAUGCUUAAAAUUAAGACAAUUAUCUACCAAUAGAACAAGGUUAUUUCAAGCUUGAAACUAGAAAAAAUGUCUAAAAAAUUAGGUUAUUCUAAGCUUACAACAGGAAAUAGUAGAUCAUUUUGACUAUAUUCAAGAGAUUAUCACUUGACAAGAUGUCUUUUUUUGCAGUGUGUAGAUCUUCAUAAAUAAAAAAGAACCCUAGCAUUUAUUUAUUUUUUUAUAGCUUUUUAACAGCCAUACAAUAACUCUUAUGUUGGCGUUGCUCUUCCUCGAGGCUGAUUAACAGUCGUGCCACGGCUGAUCCGUCCCCUGAACCGUCACGGCGUGUUAAUUGCAACUUGCACAUUGCUUGCUUUAUUAAAAAAACAGAGCUGUUUAUUUUUGCCCAGUCACGUGAGUGGCGGUAAUUAGCUCAGACAGGAGGGUGUGAAGAGGACACACUGACUCAGGUCUGUAAAUACUCUGUGUGUGCAUGUGUGUGUAUGUGUGUGUGUGUGUGUGUGUGUUGGAAUGUCUUCUUCCUCAGCUACAGCUGUAUUAUAAUUCUAAUUUCAGACCAGCUCUUGCCUACAGGACACACACACAUGUCUCUGCUGUUCUUAUUAUAGAGAGACGCUGCUAAUGUAAACACCGCUCAGACGUGACACACGUGUGUGUUCAGGACAAAAAUAGAAAGGUGUUUGGUGUAAAAGGACACCGGUUUGUAAUGCGAUAUAAAGAAUGCUGCCUGAUCUUGUGUGUGUGUGUGUGUGUGUGUGUGUGUGUGUGUGUGUGCGUGUGUAAUAGGAUCCAGUCUCUAAGGAUUAACUGUCUUCACAGACUUGUAAAGCUUGUUGUGUUGAGGGCUCUGGAUUGAUUGUUUGCCGGUUGAGUGAUGGAAAGGUGUGCAAACAACACACACAAGUAGACACACAUACAGUACACACACAUAUUUGUCUUACUAUCCUUAUAAUGUCCUUCCACUGACAAAAGUUAUUAAUGCAGCUGAUUAGCUCUAAGCUACACCUAAAAAAAAAAAAAAAAAAACCUGAUUGGCUGAGCCAUUUUCGGGCGUAUUGUAAAAUCACCGUUAUACGCAACCAAAGCUUACUCUUAACAGACUACCCUGCAUGGAGGAACAAUUGUGUACUGCUUAUAUUAUUAAUAAUCAAUGUAAUUAUUUAUUGAAGGCUAGAUUUUAUAUAUGUUUUGUCAUCAUUUUAUAAAAGCAACGAGCCAAUGAGGUCAUGUGUUACAAUGAUUUUAUCAUGGUUUCUCCAUCGUGCCUCAUUGCUGUGUACUUUGAGGCACAUUUUGAUCAGUGGUCAUUUUCACGUGAGAUUUAUUUGUUAGUUGAACUCGCUGCUUAUGUUUUAUGUCAGCUGUUUUUUUCAGGCUUCAGUGCCCCUGACCCUGAAUUCGACCCCCUCAGUGAACUGUACGCAGCUCCCAUAUCACAACACGGCUAUUUAACGUUAGACAAUGAGGAUACUGUUUCAGCCUGAGGCAGGAGUUUACUACUGAUCUAUACAGGAUUAGCACACACACACACACACCGUGGCACAAGAGACCGUGCUAGUUAAUGCUUGGUUAACGGAGCACACAUGAUAGCUGUUCCUGGCUUGAGGAGAACCCUUUAAGGGAAGAUAUACGAAACGAGCCUUUUGACCGGGUCUCCCUGUGAGGCUGAGGUUUCCAAAACACUUCACGCUGGUCACUGAUUGAGUUACUGAAUCUAUUUUGAGUAAGAUAUCCGCUGUUUAAAUUUAAUAUAUGAAUGGUGCAAAAAACAAAUACAAAAGCAUCCAUGAGAUGAGAGGGGUCAGAGGAGAAUGGAGAAUGGAGUUGUUCAUGCUGAUGGGAAGGCUACAGUAACUCAACCAUUCUCUACAAUCGUGCUGAGCAGAAAGGCAUCUCAGAUGUUGAAGUUGUAGGUGGAUGUGCUACAACAGCAGAAGACCACAUCAGGUUCCACUCCUGUCAGCCAAGAACAGGAAUCUGAAGCUACAGUGGGAACAGGUUCCCCCAAACUGGACAGGAGAAGACUGGAAAAACAUCACUUGGUCUUUAUUCAGUGUUCAAGUUGUCAAAAUUUGACCAUGUGAAGGAUUUUCGAAGGCUGCCACACAUAUGUUUAAUUGUUUUCUUAAUUUCAUUUACUGUUGUCCAACUAUGAUUUUUUUUCUUUCUUGGGAACGGCCUUGUGAUCAGAUAGUCACACUUCAACAAGUGGUUAUGAGUGGGAAGGAGAGAUGUGUGUGUGUGUGUGUAUGUGUGUGUAUGUGUGUGGGGUGAAGAAAGGAGGGGUACUGUAAUCCCAUUGACAUUAGAGAUGCAGCUCUCCACAUGCCCAGUAGCAGCUGGCUGAUUUGAAACGGGCUGAUCCAUCGUUCACACGGAGAAGGGGGAGGCAGGGCAAGGUUCAUUUAGGGCCGCUAAAUCCCCAACCAAGUGCAAUCCUACCCAUGCUGAAGGACAUUAAAGAUUAAUCGAUUCUUUUAAUUCAUGUUUUUAAUUAAAUAUGAAUAGAGAGUGCAGGAUCUUUCAUCGCGUUGCAGUGUGGAGGUGGUGCGGUCCGACUGUGGCUCCCAAAGUGCCUUGAGCACACAUUCAUUAUCUAAUCUCCCCCUUUAUGGUUAAUUUACAAGCUUUGCUGCUUCGGCCAUAUGCUGCCUUUGUCUUCCGCCUCGUGCUUUGUGUCCUGUUUUACAGUCCAGGCGCUCACACACUCACACACACACACACACACAAACACACACACCAACAUGCAUGAAGAGAGACAUACUUGUGCAGACAAAAAUACGAGACCACAGACAUGCACACAAGUAUGCAUACAGACACAGAUGAGACAAACUAAAAGGACAGAAAAUCCAUCCUUUCAUCAUCAGUGCAGCUGCUGCUCACAGUCAGUAUCAUAGCCAAACCUUGGGCAUGUGUGUGUGGUAUGUGUGUGGCAUGCGCAUGUUGUGUGUGUAUGUUUGUUCAGCCCGCUGCUCCCGUUGCCAUCUAUAACACUCCCAAUGUUCCCAAUCAGCUGUCCCUGGCUCUAGUGUGUGUUAAGCUUGAGAGAUCGCGUGCAUCGUCCUAUCGUGCCUCCUAACUAUCGCCGAUUAUCGUGGCUUUGGAAGGGUGUAGGCUGCAGUGACGCUGAGGAAGGAAAGGAAGAGGGCGUGGCCAAACACAUGUAAACUGUAGGAAAAAACAGCAGAAGCUGGUUACGAGUCGGCUGUAACCGAAGCAUUUAGUUUUUUUUUUCAUUAAUUACUCAUUAACAAGGUCAGGAACAUUUGCUGUCAAGACUGUAAAUAAACCGAAUGAGUUAUUAGCUCAUUAUAAAACUGAAAUUAUAUGAAAUAUGCCUACAUAUGCUGUGGUGAAUAGCAGCAAAGAUAUUUAUUGAAUAGUGCAGUAUUAAUGUGUGUGUGUGUGUGUGUGUGUGUGAGAGUGAUUUCCUAAUGUGUGGAUAUGGAAGGUGGAUGAUGUUCCUUCAUGUUUGUACUGGAGAAGGUAAACACUGAAACAUUGCGCUGUCUGCAUUAAACUCUAUUUACCUUGACACUC
Pangasianodon hypophthalmus (striped catfish) is the source of this 5324-nucleotide long non-coding RNA. RefSeq lists it as uncharacterized. NCBI's taxonomy places the organism in Eukaryota, Metazoa, Chordata, Actinopteri, Siluriformes, Pangasiidae. The transcript is spliced from 2 exons. The record is from RefSeq and is a predicted model, not a curated record.